This 405-nucleotide ribosomal RNA is filed under the name uncultured prokaryote. RNAcentral's name for it is "bacterial SSU rRNA". It matches the Rfam family "Bacterial small subunit ribosomal RNA", at positions 355 to 774 of the family's 1533-position model. The record is from RNAcentral.
UGGGGGAUAUUGCACAAUGGGCGAAAGCCUGAUGCAGCAACGCCGCGUGAGGGAAGACGGUUUUCGGAUUGUAAACCUCUGUCUUCGGUGAAGAAAAAAAUGACGGUAGCCGAGGAGGAAGCCACGGCUAACUACGUGCCAGCAGCCGCGGUAAUACGUAGGUGGCGAGCGUUGUCCGGAAUUACUGGGUGUAAAGGGGGCGCAGGCGGGGAAACAAGUCAGCUGUGAAAACUAUGGGCUUAACCCAGAAACUGCAUUUGAAACUGUUUUUCGUGAGUGGAGUAGAGGUAGGCGGAAUUCCGAGUGUAGCGGUGAAAUGCGUAGAUAUUCGGAGGAACACCAGUGGCGAAGGCGGCCUACUGGGCUCUAACUGACGCUGAGGCUCGAAAGUGUGGGGAGCAAACA